AAGCGUUUGGAUUCAUUUUUUUGUUUGUUAAUUCAUUCUUUUCCUUCUCAUCUGCAGACAAUGGCCAAAGUGAUUACCUCCAUGCUCAAGUUUUCUCCAGAUCAAGCGCAAAAGGUUUUGGAUAAAGAAGACUCGAAAGCGAUUCCUUGGUUACGAUGAGUGGCUAAAUAAUUCCUGUACUUUGAGGUGAAAAUCUGCUGCUGCUGCUGAAGGGGAAGACUGCCAUGGAUUUGAUCGAGUCCUUCUCUCUGCAUUUCUUGUCAUUUUAUAUCUGUGUGUGUGUGUGUGUGUGUGUGUGUGUGUGUGUGUGCGUGCGUGCGUGCGUGUGUGUGUGUGGGCUGCAGUAUGUGUGACUAUAUGUAAAGGUAUGAGGGAAUUAUGAGAGAAUAUACCAGAAACACAAAUCUUCCAUGAAUCCAAUUUUACUUUAGGAUUAAGCUUAAUUUAUUUGUUUUAGAUGAAGAAAAAAUGAGUUUCUGUUUAUUUCAGAAUGUUUGAAUAUGGUUUGGCUUGUGCAAUAAAUGAUAUUAUCAUAAUGUAUUGAUGCUGACAGUCAGUUGAUUAAUAGGUUUCUGUGUCGUGCUGUUGUCUGAAUCACUUCCUCUGUAAAACGUUAAACGACCCUUUAACUGUGCACUCGCACCACGUUAAGAUUCUGGACCUUGUUUGUCUAAUGCAGCCUUUUUAUGCUUUAUAUUCUGACACUGAUAUAGAAACCCCCCAAAACUCACAACUGUAAAUUGUACUGUGAUUAUGAGAACUGUACUAUAGGGCACCAUAUGACUUGCUAUACAUUUUCAGAUUAACAGAUUAAAUCUUAUUUACAGAA
This is a non-coding RNA of Paralichthys olivaceus (Japanese flounder), 829 nucleotides long. The record is from RefSeq and is a predicted model, not a curated record. Lineage: Eukaryota; Metazoa; Chordata; Actinopteri; Pleuronectiformes; Paralichthyidae.